RNAcentral lists this ribosomal RNA (468 nucleotides) under uncultured bacterium. RNAcentral's name for it is "partial 16S ribosomal RNA". It matches the Rfam family "Bacterial small subunit ribosomal RNA", at positions 28 to 507 of the family's 1533-position model. The record is from RNAcentral.
GACGAACGCUGGCGGCGUGCUUAACACAUGCAAGUCGAACGGAAAGGCCCUGCUUUUGUGGGGUGCUCGAGUGGCGAACGGGUGAGUAACACGUGAGUAACCUGCCCUUGACUUUGGGAUAACUUCAGGAAACUGGGGCUAAUACCGGAUAGGAGCUCCUGCCGCCUGGUGGGGGUUGGAAAGUUUCGGCGGUUGGGGAUGGACUCGCGGCUUAUCAGCUUGUUGGUGGGGUAGUGGCUUACCAAGGCUUUGACGGGUAGCCGGCCUGAGAGGGUGACCGGCCACAUUGGGACGGAGAUACGGCCCAGACUCCUACGGGAGGCAGAAGUGGGGAAUAGUGCACAAUGGGCGGAAGCCUGAUGCAGCAACGCCGCGUGCGGGAUGACGGCCUUCGGGUUGUAAACCGCUUUCGCCUGUGACGAAGCGUGAGUGACGGUAAUGGGUAAAGAAGCACCGGCUAACUACGUG